CUCAAAACAUCCCCAGAGAGCAGCAGCAAGGCAGGCAGCGAAUGGAUCAAGCCGGGCACAGGAGAGCGACUCCCGGCAAGUGACAGCCCUGCAAGGGAACAAACGCCGUGUGUUCCCAACUGACCGCACUUCCGCCUCCUCCCCUUCCAUUCAACACUCCCUGCUAGGGAUGCUCCCUCCAUGUACAUGACGUGCGGGCUGCAAAUACUUUUGUCUCGGUGUGGAAAAGCAGGCUGGAGAAAGCGUGUGAUCCCACGUGGUCAAGAACCUAGGUUUUUCUGGGACUGAGAAUAUUCCUUUCAGCUGUGUGAGAAGUUUUCAUCUGAGACAAAUGAAAAACAUUCCAUCCUCUUCCCACUCCCCACUUUACCAACUCUGUCAAGAACAAGAGGAAUGAGACUUGGAGAGAAACUGUCCCAAAAAGGUCAACCAUUUCAACAUGUCCAAAGCAUUGAGCGAUUUCCAGUGAAUUAUAUUCCUUAAGGAAAGGCAGAGAUGUGGGAAAGAAAAAAGGCUGGAGUGCUUCAUUUCAGAGGUGAACUCCUGUUACAUCCUGGAGCCCAGAAGCUGAGGAGAACAUGUGGGACUUGAUACAACCUGAUUUUUACUGUUACAUUUCAGAAAAUCCUUACAGCUUAAAACAAGCAUGCCACAUACACAGUAGUGAAAAAGCCAGUAUAUAUUGCCCUGCCCAGCUUCCUGCCCAGCACUAUUCAUCUGCACCUUACUCAGCUGCAGGACAACCACCAUGCAUUAAAAGAACCACAAACAAACUAACAAACAAGCUUUAUUCAUGGAAUACUUCUGCAUAUUUUACUGUCAGGAGACAAGGAUUGCUGGGCACCAUUAGUGCCAUUAGAAAUUCAGCUCAUCACCUCACUAUUAUUCAGUGUCAUGGUAACAAUUUAGCACAGCCACACAGCACUUGCAGACCUUGCAUGUUCUGGAGUUUCCCCAGACCCUUCCUAAUGCACACAUACAAACCCACUCAAAUCCAGGCCUCCCACCUUUCGUUCAACUAAACAUACUCUAAAAAAAAAAAAAAAAAAAUAAAAUCAAAUGUUGGCCACACACAACCAUUUUAGGAAAAAAAAAAUUCCCUUUAUUCUCCAACACAAGGCAAAUCUUUGAAAAAGUAAAUGUUGUGCUAUUUUAUAUGUACAGGAUAUAAAGGAUAUCAUGUAUCACAUCCAUAAUAUUUAACUUGUACUCAAAGCACACAAUGCUGUCAACAAAUAUUUAUGAUUUAAAAGAAAAUAAAAAAUCCACGAUAUUUUUAAAUGCCUGAAUGCUCAGAGAUAAAUGUCUGUAGAAGUCCCUGGAAGCAGAAAAAAGAAAACCCCUACAAAUCGGGAAUCCUUUCAGACUGUUAGCUGAAAUU
This is a long non-coding RNA of Pseudopipra pipra, 1381 nucleotides long. RefSeq lists it as uncharacterized. NCBI's taxonomy places the organism in Eukaryota, Metazoa, Chordata, Aves, Passeriformes, Pipridae. The transcript has 3 exons. The record is from RefSeq and is a predicted model, not a curated record.